RNAcentral lists this ribosomal RNA (802 nucleotides) under Salmonella enterica. RNAcentral describes it as "partial 23S ribosomal RNA". It matches the Rfam family "Bacterial large subunit ribosomal RNA", at positions 390 to 1191 of the family's 2925-position model. The record is from RNAcentral. Lineage: Bacteria; Pseudomonadati; Pseudomonadota; Gammaproteobacteria; Enterobacterales; Enterobacteriaceae.
GCAUGUGCUGUGAGCUCGAUGAGUAGGGCGGGACACGUGGUAUCCUGUCUGAAUAUGGGGGGACCAUCCUCCAAGGCUAAAUACUCCUGACUGACCGAUAGUGAACCAGUACCGUGAGGGAAAGGCGAAAAGAACCCCGGCGAGGGGAGUGAAAAAGAACCUGAAACCGUGUACGUACAAGCAGUGGGAGCACAGGUUUACCUGUGUGACUGCGUACCUUUUGUAUAAUGGGUCAGCGACUUAUAUUCUGUAGCAAGGUUAACCGAAUAGGGGAGCCGGAGGGAAACCGAGUCUUAAUUGGGCGUUAAGUUGCAGGGUAUAGACCCGAAACCCGGUGAUCUAGCCAUGGGCAGGUUGAAGGUUGGGUAACACUAACUGGAGGACCGAACCGACUAAUGUUGAAAAAUUAGCGGAUGACCUGUGGCUGGGGGUGAAAGGCCAAUCAAACCGGGAGAUAGCUGGUUCUCCCCGAAAGCUAUUUAGGUAGCGCCUCGUGAAUUCAUCUCCGGGGGUAGAGCACUGUUUCGGCUAGGGGGCCAUCCCGGCUUACCAACCCGAUGCAAACUGCGAAUACCGGAGAAUGUUAUCACGGGAGACACACGGCGGGUGCUAACGUCCGUCGUGAAGAGGGAAACAACCCAGACCGCCAGCUAAGGUCCCAAAGUCAUGGUUAAGUGGGAAACGAUGUGGGAAGGCCCAGACAGCCAGGAUGUUGGCUUAGAAGCAGCCAUCAUUUAAAGAAAGCGUAAUAGCUCACUGGUCGAGUCGGCCUGCGCGGAAGAUGUAACGGGGCUAAACCAUG